This 1308-nucleotide ribosomal RNA is filed under the name Triticum aestivum (bread wheat). RNAcentral describes it as "partial small subunit ribosomal RNA". The record is from RNAcentral. Lineage: Eukaryota; Viridiplantae; Streptophyta; Magnoliopsida; Poales; Poaceae.
UUGGCCCCUCCCACCAGUUCUUGCACAGAGAAGGAGAAGCAAUCCCUCCUGCAGUUCCUCAGUAGUCUGUCGUGUGAUGGUGGCCUCGCCGCGUCCUGGAAGCAGAACGGCAGAGACUGCUGUGAAUGGGAAGGGGUCACCUGUGGCCUGGAUGGGGCAGUCACAGAUGUUUCAUUGGCUUUGAAGGGCUUUGAGGGGCGCAUAACGCCGUCCCUCGGCAACCUUGCCGGUAGCAUCAUCGUCCUUGAUGUCAGCUUCAACAACCUAAACGGGGACAUGCAAGAGUUGCCAUCUUCAACCCCUGCUUGGCCUCUACAGGUACUGAACAUCUCGAGCAACUUGUUAACAGGACAGUUUCCAUCAUCCACCACAUGGGAGGCGACGAACAAUCUGGUCACACUCAACACUAGCAAUAACAGCUUCACUGGGCAGAUACCAAGUCAUUUGUGCGGCAGCUCACCAUCCCUCGCUGUGCUUGAUCUCUGUUACAACAUAUUUACAGGCAGCAUUCCCCUCGAACUUGGUAACUGCGCCAUGCUCAGAGUGCUCAAAGCUGGACAGAAUAACCUCAGCGGGAAUCUCCCAAAUGAACUCUUCAAUGCUUCCUUGCUGGAGUACCUCUCACUUCCUAACAAUAUUCUAGAUGGAGAGCUUGAUGGUGACAUAUCAAACAACAGCCUCACUGGGGAAAUUCGAACAGACCUGGCGGAUAUGCAAAUGUUGCAGUCAGAGAAGACUAAAGCCAGUUUAGACCCGAGGGUCUUCAAACUACCAGUUUAUAAGGGUCUAUCACUUCAGUACCGCAUACCCAUUGCUUUCGCCGGAGUGCUGGAUCUAAGCAGCAAUAAAAUAGCUUGUCAGAUCCCUCGGGAGAUCGCCCGGCUGAAAUUCCUUUGCUCACUCAAUUUGAGCUUCAACGACCUAUCAGGACACAUCCCAAUAUCAGUAUGCAAUCUCACAAACCUGCAGGUACUAGACUUCUUGAACAACAAUCUCACUGGUGCAAUCCCAGCUGCACUGAACAGCCCGCACUUCCUUUCAGCAUUCAACAGUUCUAACAAUGACCUAGAAGGUCCUAUUCCAUCCAGAGGUCAGUUUAACACAUUCCAAAAUUCUAGCUUCGAUGGGAAUCCGAAGCUCUGUGGCUCUAUGCUCACUCACAAAUGUGGUCCAGCUUCAACACGUCCACAAACCAUUAUGGCAACCAAACAAACUGACUACAAGGCCGCCUUCGCGAUUGCCUUCACCGCAUUCUUUGGUGUAGGGGUGUAGUAUGAUCAGCUAGUCUUAUCAAGGUUUUUUGGCUAG